CAGUACCACGGUAAUACGAAGGGUGCAAGCGUUACUCGGAAUUACUGGGCGUAAAGCGUGCGUAGGUGGUGGUUUAAGUCCGUUGUGAAAGCCCUGGGCUCAACCUGGGAAUUGCAGUGGAUACUGGGUCACUAGAGUGUGGUAGAGGAUAGUGGAAUUUCCGGUGUAGCAGUGAAAUGCGUAGAGAUCGGAAGGAACAUCUGUGGCGAAGGCGACUAUCUGGGCCAACACUGACACUGAGGCACGAAAGCGUGGGGAGCAAACAGGAUUAGAUACCCCCGUAGUCCCUGUCUCUUAUACA
This 301-nucleotide ribosomal RNA is filed under the name uncultured bacterium. Its description in RNAcentral is "partial 16S ribosomal RNA". It matches the Rfam family "Bacterial small subunit ribosomal RNA", at positions 509 to 808 of the family's 1533-position model. The record is from RNAcentral.